Hirundo rustica (Barn swallow) is the source of this 990-nucleotide long non-coding RNA. RefSeq lists it as uncharacterized. The transcript has 4 exons. The record is from RefSeq and is a predicted model, not a curated record. Lineage: Eukaryota; Metazoa; Chordata; Aves; Passeriformes; Hirundinidae.
AAGUACUUAGAAGCAAAAACAAAUUCUAGUGAAAGAUACAUAGGACGCUGACUUCUGAUUGUCUGACCAAGUAAGAUCCAGGUAAUAGCACAAAAGACUUCUCAGCUUCUACUGAUACAUCUCAACCAUGAGGUAAAGCAAUGACUACCAGGACACAAAGCAGCAAAGCAGAAGACCUGUCCUAUGUGUGAGUGUGGCAAUUCAGACAAGUCUCUUACAGAGUAGUGCAGACAGCUUUAUUUAAUACUCUGCUGGAACUGCAGCAUUCUCAGUACUCCCUCCAACCUCUUGUUUACUUCAGAAGCUGAGUAACCGAGCAGAGAGCUGAUAGGCGGAACAAGGAAGAGACUUAAGAGACACUACAUCCUUAAAGCAGCGAAAGAGACAACAGAACACACCAAGGACUGACUGAGGUGCAGUUACACCUCGAAAGACAUCUUGUGUGUGUGGCAGAUUCACCAGAGACUGCUGUACCAUAUGGAGAGAUCAGACGGAAUCCAAAUGCAAAACAGCAGAAUUAGCAAGGCACGGUGCCCAAGCGAAAAACAGCCAUUGGCAGUUUGGCAACCAUUUCAGCUGCUAAUUGAACCCCUCUGCAGCACGGACUGGCUACCCAAAGACAACCUGACUUGUCCUCCAGCAUUAUCCUGAAGGAGCAAUGCUCCCAUUACUCACUUUGCUUCAUGGAAUGACUGACACCUACUGGGAUUUUUGAAGUUUUUACAAACUUACAGCUACGCACGAGAAACAGGCGAUGGCAUUUCUUCUUGGUAUAUCCACUUAUCUAGAAGAUGAGCCAGGCCUGGUCUACAAAAUGAGUUCUGUGCCGUUUAAUUUUGGCAGGUUUUGCCACCGUGCAAAUUCUUGGGACAACAAACAACGUUGCAUUGACAAGAAACAGGAAAGCAUAGAAUCACUCACCUGAACAGGUUAUUUACAGGUAGAGCAAGUUUAACAUCAUGAAAAUACUGAAAAGUUUGCUUCAAAAGG